GACGAAGGGGGCUAGCGUUGUUCGGAAUUACUGGGCGUAAAGCGCGUGUAGGCGGUUGUUCAAGUCAGGUGUGAAAGCCUUGAGCUCAACUCAAGAAAUGCACUUGAUACUGGAUGACUAGAGGACCGGAGAGGAUAGUGGAAUUCCCAGUGUAGUGGUGAAAUACGUAGAGAUUGGGAAGAACACCAGUGGCGAAGGCGGCUAUUGAGGUGACGGUUC
Molecule: ribosomal RNA, 219 nt
Filed under: uncultured bacterium
Lineage: Bacteria
Description: partial 16S ribosomal RNA
Rfam family: Bacterial small subunit ribosomal RNA
Source: RNAcentral